AAGGUAAAGCCUAGUCCAGUUGUUGUGGUAUUGCUAGGUUUUGAUGACCAAGGAGCGAAAUACGCUAGCUUGGCUCUCGAUCUGUUGUUUCUUGUCCUAAGCCGCCGCCGGAUCGUCCCCUUAUAUACACAGGUUGACGCCCUGCGGCUUACAGAGUCCCGGCCGACUCAUACAACGUGUCCGGCUCGGUGACGUCUUUUACAUGCCUUACUUUACAAGUCUUAUCAUACAUGGCGGUUUAUACUCAUGGGCCUUAAGCCACCUCUGGGCUUCGGCCUACUACAACCUUAUCAUAAACCGUCACCUUGUAUAUUCUUCGGGCUUCCUUUAGUUAACCCUCCAUUGCUAUUGACCCGGCCCCUCCUGGGCGGGUCAUACCUAGUAGUUAUAUCCCCAACAUUAGGCCCCAGGUUGAUUUGAACUUUGUUCUUGUCAAUCUUCAAUACUUAGAAAAAAUCCAUCUAUUACUGUUUUGCGAAAGCCUUGUAACCCGCCAUGAUGCCAUCUCCGAAUUUUUCGGAAACCCGCCACCACGUCAUCUUUGAACGGAUCUUUAUCUUUAACGCCUUCCCGAAAAUCGAGGCGCCUGGGUAGCUGGAUAACCAUGUUUUGGUCUCCUCGUUUUUCGCGCCCACUUAUCAGCCUUCUCCUUAUAAAUAGGCACGAAUGGCCUUUCUUCAUUCUCUCCCUUUUCCAUCGUCUUCUUCCUCUCUCGCAACCCUUCUGUCGCUCGAGCUCCGCCACCGUCGCAGCGCUCAUCGUCGUCCUCAAGCUCGGCUGCUGCAUCACCCUAAGCUGUCCAUAGAAACAACAACAACCCUCCGCAACAGAUCCGCGUCCGUAAGGUCUUGCCUUCUCACACCUUUAGAUCUGCAUUAGGGUUUGCGAGUUCUUUCCAUGUUCUUCGCUGUUCAUUACGGAUUCCUUGUAGUUUCUCCACCGCACCCUCCUUUAAUCUAAAAGAAGUAUAAAACCUAUGCGGUAGUUGUUUUGCAUCCAUUUCAGAUGCUAGCAGAUCCCUUUCUCCUGUACAAAAGGCCUCUUUAGAACUGACGAACUCCUCUGUGCUGGUUUUUAGGUCUAGAUUUAUUUCCCUUUUUUGAACCAUCUUGAUCCAAAAUAAUAGCAACUUGUGAAACUUGUUUAUCUCAGCACUUAGCCAAUUCUGACUCAGGCAACCUUUGAAUAUCUUUAGUCAUGGCGGCUUAUGAUUCCGGCUCAUUCUUCCUUUAUAUAUCAUUAGCCCUUACUUAAGCCGCCAUUACUCAUCUGUACUAUAAUCAUUAACCUGUAACUCCACCAAUAAUUUGAACCGGCAAAUUACUUUCUUUUCAGCUUGCCUUUUUUUCAUCAUGCCGUCAAAAGCGCCAACAGUCUGCAACUGGGUCCCUUCCACAAUUACUGAGGAUACCUUGAAAGAAUUUGUCACCAUUGGAUUUUUGCCAAAGAAAAACAUUAUGUCUUAUCGUACCCCUGACCCGGAUGAAGCACGGCCUCAGCCAAAAGACGGUGAAGUUAUCAUUUUUACUGACCACAUGAAUCGGGGGUUUUCACCACCCGACUCAAAGUUCAUCAGAGACGUUCUGCAUUUUUUCAAACUUCACCCACAAGAUCUUGGACCCAACUAUAUAUAUAUAUAUAUAUAUAUAUAUAUAUAUAUAUAUAUAUCCAAUAUUUGCAUAUUUGAAGUUCUCUGUGAGGUAUAUCUUCAAGAAGAACCAACUGUGGAGCUCUUUAGAGAGUACUUUUAUUUGAACCACCAGAAUGAGUGCACCAAUGGCCCUAGCUUGGAACUUGGCGGAAUCUCGAUUCAGCGCCGACAGGGCGCUGUCUUUCCUUUAGUAGUCUUACUAAGCCAUCCCAAAGAUUGGAACCAAACUUGGUUCUAUUGCCAAGACAUAUCACCAGCUGAUGAAAAACCACUGCCGGGUUAUCGCGCGGAGCGUCUUGAUUCUAAGUUUGUGCUCCCUGACAAGCUUACUGCUGCUGAAUGCAAGAAGCUUAUUCCAUCUAUCAAAAGGAUUCAAGCCUUAUUGGGAAACGGCUUAACUGGAGUUGAUCUGAUCCGUUGCUGAAUCGCAUGGCGGGUCAUCCCUCUAAGCCGCCGAUCUAAGUUGAUGUAUAAAUAUGGCGGAGGCCCAGAUGAUUCUCUGCGUCAUAGCUCUAUACAACUAACUGAAGAGGACAUUGUUGCAAUGUCAACCAUCCUCGUGAACGGCAAAUACGAGGACCGCAGUAAGGUUGGAUUAAACCCCUUCUGCAAACUUAACCCGACACCAGAGGUGAACCCCCUUAACCUCCUUUUUUGUUUUCUUCAGUAGUUAAAUACUUGCAUGGCUUUUUAACCUGUUAUUUGCAUACAGGCCAAAUCUGAUUUCUGGAAGGCCAAGUAUGAUCAUGAAGCUGCCAAGAAGGCUAGAUCCGCUACCAUAGCCACCAGGAGAAUGACAUGGAAGCCCAAGAAGAAGACUGCAUCUGACAUUUUCCAGCUGGAUGAUGUUUCUGAGUCGGAGGUAGCCCUUGACUCCCUUGGCCAGUUUUUUAACAACCUUAUUGACACUGACUAUUGCCAGGAUGACACGGGGGCCAUCCAGGCCGUAGAAGAAGAGGUAACUAUUUCCUCCGACUCAGCCCCUUUGCCAAGACAGAAACUUUGACUGGUAACCCGGAAAGUAAGGGUUUUGCACCCUUUGGCUUAUUUGGACCCUCAUUUUCUUUUGAAAAAGUAGCAACAUGAGAGCCGCCGUUAGGCCUGGACUAAUGACGACAUUGAACCGCCCGCCGACUUACAAAAAACUCCUUGAAAACGCCAGAAUGAGGUUUCUUUCACAUUUGUCUUUUGCUUUUAUCCAUGAAUCUAUUUCCUUACUCUCUUAACUUUAUUUUACCUUUGCAGGAGGUUUCUCGCUCUUCUGGCGACUCGUCACAAACUCAAUUUUCGGCUUUCAAGAAUGCCCCUGGGUAAGGAAAAUCAUCUUUCUUCUGCAUCUUUAAAACUGUAUCAUUGUACUAACUGUCUCAUAAAAUCUUUCUUAGCGGUCAAGCAAAGUCCAAGAAAGCCAAGGUGACUAAACCGGCAGAAGACCCAAAAGAUCCUGCACCUAAACAGGCAAUACCAACUCCUCUUGAUCAAUCUGAAGCACCAGAAGAUCCGGCUGUCCACGUUCAAUCGGACCCUCCUGAGCCGUCAGCUGAUGAGACCAUUCUUAAUCCGGCUACCACUGAACCAUCUAGCUCAGCUAACCCGCCGAUGACUUCUGACAAUGAUGUCUUAAUUACUGGUAGUCGAUUCGUUGAGCCGGGCAACCCAACCGUACUGGCCCGGCACUCUGCUAAGCAAGAGGCUUUAGACAGGCAGAAGGUGCGGUUUGAUGUCUCUCAUUAUGCUCACCUGAACGUUAGCGACGUGCUGUCUGGCUACCUCGGUCAUGUGCAUUCCAGCCGUGACUCAGAAAUUGAGAUGGUCAAGCAACUGCAGCUGAAGUAUGAGGUACGUUCACCGGCUUGCACCAUCUUAUAUAUGCUCUGCCAGCCCCCAAGUCUCCGGAUUAUGAUGAACCUGAAUGAUCCGUAGACUUGUGAUAUGGGUUGAUGCUCUAUCUUAGAUUUUCCUUAAAUCCAGCCUAAAUUUCACCUGUAGUCCCCAAGGGCUGGCUCAAUUUAUCGCAAAUGAGCCGGUACAUAACUUCAUAACUGUCUCGAAUCAGUCGAAACAAAUAGUGUGAUCCGGCUCGACAUGAAAACACUUUCUUAAUAUCAUGCAUUAGCCCCCAAGUGCCAACCAUUGUUACUUGUAAAAUACUUGGGACUUUAAUCAUAGAAGAGCCAUUUCACAUUAAAAAAUUGCUUUGGCAGACAUUAGCCCCCAAGUGCCGAGUGGUGUUGUGUUGCAAAGCACUUGGGACUUUAGUCAUGAUAACCUUUACAUUUGAACAUACCUGUGCAUGUUUGCAGACCGCCUUGACUGAAUUGGGGUCUCAAUUGACUGAUGCAAAGACCCGGCUGGUGGAUCAAGAGGCGGAGAUAAAGAACGCUGACUCCAAACUCCAGUUGAGCCUUUCUGAAGCUGAAAAACUGAAGACCAGUUUUGAUGCGGAGAAGAAAUCCUGGGCCGACGAGAAAACCUUGGUAAUCCAGCGUGCUGAGACAACGGAGGCGGCUCUCAAGGAGGUUACCACGGAGCUCACCGGCUUAAAAAACCGUGUGUCCCAGAUGGUCUCCGCAAUCUUUGGUGAGUUAUUUGCCUUUAGUUACUUACACUCUAUUUUUGCCAGAAGUAUAAGCCGCCUUCUUAACCUUUUUAAAACACCCACAGGUCCCCGGAGCAACAAUCUGAGCCAAAACAGUUUAAUAAAACUCAAGGCAGUUUACACCCUAGUGGAGCAGCUGUACGCUGGAGCACAACGAGCGCUUGCCAUUAUAUCCCCAGCCAACCAAGGACCAAACCUCUUAACUAACAUCUUGAAGAAACUGUCAAUUCUACCCGCCAGAUUCCAAGAGGUCAAGCGGUCUUGCGCAAGAGCCGGAGCCCUAACCGCACUGAGCCGUUCCAAAGCCUGGGGUGCCGGAACUUGACCCGACGGAUGUAGCCAAGGGGUAUCCCCCUUUGAAAGAAGAUGGGACUUUGUUUGAUCAAGACGAUUUUGUUGCUUGUGUGAGGGAAGUUCGUCCUCAUGCUACCAUCCUUGGCGAUGAAACCAACAUUGAUAAAUUUAGUCGGGUUUUGAUGUUGAAGAUAAGAAGAUGGCGACUCCCUCUUAUAAAGUGACAGAUCUGAUCCCGCUGGUUCGCCAACAUACUUUUGCCCCGGAAAUUGACCCGGCCGGCCUAAUUGACGAUGAAGCUAAGUUCAUUGCUCUGAACGGCUUUGACUGGUCCAAUCCCAGCUUCCAACCAGCGGAGGGAGGUGAACCGGCGAGGGAGGAGUCAUAACCAUCUGAAUAAUCCAGCCUUUAGCUUAAAAUCUGCUGAAGAGAGAAACCAUUCUAACCUUUUGGGCUCUCAAUGCCUUGUAAUAGGUUAGUUUGAAAACUGCAUGUUUUGCCUAUGCCGUCGUGCAUAGGAUGUUGCAUAUGACUUUUUACCUGUGAUGUCAAUGUAUGCAUUAUAUCCGCGAUCACAUAUGCAGUGUUUAAAUCUGUUCCUGUAUGCAAAAGAUGAAAAAACUGUCCUGGUGGUUUAUCGCUGGACGGGUCAAAACACCUGAUAUAUAACUAUGAAAUCAUCAUAGUGGAACAACAGGACCAGAUGUAAGAUAAACAAGGCUGAAAAAACCUUUGAUUAACGAAAAGACACAAAUAAGUUUGUUUAUGAAUGACAAUGUCAUACCUAUGUUCUUUGAUUUUGAACUGCCGGCUUAUAUGACCCAGACAAUAAGGUUGACGACCCUAAUCUUUGUAGAAGUCAAUACCUUGAUAUGCCUGAUGAUUGUUACACCUUGGAAACUCAUUGUCAAAUAACUGAGCUGGUUUAAAUUGAAACCAUAUGUGCAGUUAGAUUUGAGACAACAAAAACCCAGUAAAACAAGAUAGUAUGUUUCAAACGAUGUAAAUCAAGCAUUAAGAGUAAUUUUGAGGCUUCUGAUUCGAAUACGAUCAGUAAACCAGACCAAAGGGGUUAAGCUAGGAUUCGAAUAUGAUCAUGUAGCCCCCAGUGGCUUUGGCAUUGCACCGAUCAAAGGGUACCGACAGCUAUGUUCUCUUUGGUUCGAACACGACCUAUGUUUGAACAGGAAGCCCCCAAAUGACCUUAAGAGGUUUUUAAUGACCCUGAUUCGAAUACGAUCCAAGUCGGACCCAAAAGGGGUUAAGCUAUGAUUCGGAUACGAUCAAGAAGCCCCCUUGUGAGUUUGGCUUUGUGUCAAUCAAGAGGGUUACGACAGCUAUGUUCUCUUCGGUCUGAAUACGACCUAUGUUUGAACAGGAAGCCCCCUAGUGACCAUGAGGUUUACGGCUAGAUUCGGAUACAAUCAUGAGCCAGACCAAAAGGGUUAAGCUAGAUUCAAAUAUGAUCAGCCCCUAAUGGUCGUUUGAAUAAUUAGAAUAAUAAAGAUAUAUGAUCAUUGAAAAUGAAAAGGAUAGAGGUCCUGCUUUAUUACUUAUCAUAAUAUAUACAAUGUCACAGUAUGUACAUUAUGAGAGCUGAUGGCUCAAGUAUAGUACGGCUAAAGAUGAAUAAUAUUCCACGGCCGGCGGGUCUCCUCCUCCGACUUACGUGAGUCUUUGUGCUCUCGAACGUCGAUAAGGUAAUAUGACCCAUUGUUCAAGUUCUUGCUGACCACAAAGGAUCCUUCCCAAGGUGGGGAUAGCUUGUGUGCAUCAGACUGAUCCUGGAUGAGCCGGAGCACCAGGUCACCUUCUUGAAAGGUUCUGGACCUAACCCCACGGCUGUGAUAACGUCGCAGGACCUGUUGAUAAAUUGCUGAUCGGGCUGCUGCCAAAUCUCGCUCCUCAUCUAACAAGUCAAGUGCAUCUUUUCGGGCUUGUUCAUUAUUAGCUUCAACGUAAGCCGCCACGCGGGGCGAGUCAUGAUGAAUAUCACUAGGUAGGACUGCUUCUGCUCCAUAAACCAUGAAGAAAGGCGUAUAACCCAUAGACCUGUUAGGAGUGGUAUUGAUGUUCCAUAGCAUUGAGGGUAACUCCUCUACCCAACAACCCGGCGUCCGUUGUAAAGGAACCAUAAGCCGGGGCUUGAGACCUUUUAAGAUUUCCCGAUUUGCUCUUUCAGCUUGACCAUUGGAUUGGGGGUGAGCUACUGACGAAACAUCAAGCCGGAUAUGCUCAUGUUGACAAAACUCCUCCAUAGCGCCUUUGGACAGAUUAGUACCAUUGCCAGUUAUAAUGUUGUGUGGAAAGCCAAAACGAAAGAUCACCUUUUUCAUGAACUGAACCACCGUGGCUGCAUCGCACUUACUAACCGGCUCUGCCUCAACCCAUUUUGUGAAUUUGUCAACUGCCACCAAACGAUGUGUCUUUUUAUCCUGGGAUCCUUUGAAAGGUCCAACCAUGUCAAGCCCCCAGACUACAAAUGGCCAAGUGAUUGGAAUCAUCCGCAAUUCUUGAGUCGGCACGUGCGCUCGUCGUGUAAAUUUUUGACACCCAUCGCACCUACUGACCAGAUCCUCUGCAUCAGCGUGAGCCGUUAGCCAGUAAAAACCAUGACGAAAAGCUUUGGCCACAAGAGACUUUGAACCGGCGUGAUGGCCACAAUCCCCUUCAUGGAUCUCACGAAGAAUUUCUUGACCUUCUUCAGGAGAGACACAACGUUGAAACGCUCUGGUGACGCUGCGAUGAUACAACUCACCAUUGGAAAUUGUCAUUGACUUAGACCGCCGGGUUAUCUGUCGAGCCAAGGUCUCAUCCUCCGGUAACUCACCCCGGGUCAUAUAAGCGAAAUACAGUAUUGUCCAAUCUGGAAUGACAUGAAGAGCUGCCACCAACUGUGCCUCCUGGUCUGGAACGGCCAAAUCUUCCUCUGUAGGUAAUUUGACAGAAGGGUUAUGCAGAACAUCUAGAAAAGUGUUAGGUGGUACCGGCUUACGCUGAGAUCCCAACCGGCUUAAAGCAUUAGCCGCUUCGUUUUUUCUGCGGUCAAUGUGCUCCACUUGAUAACCCUUGAAGUGUCCAGCAACAGCGUAAACCUCACGGCGGUAAGCCGCCAUGAGAGGGUCCUUGGAGUCCCACUUGCCUGAUACCUGAUGAGCCACCAAAUCUGAGUCGCCAAGGCACCGCACCCGGCUUAAACUCAUCUCUUUAGCCAUUCGAAGACCAUGGAGUAAGGCCUCAUAUUCUGCUGCGUUGUUAGUACAAGGAAACAUCAAUCGCAACACAUAACAAAACUUGUCACCUCGAGGAGAAGUUAAAACAACUCCAUCCCCCGAGCCUUCCAACUGUCUGGACCCAUCGAAAUGAAUCGUCCAAUAUGUGUUGUCUGGCUUCUCUUCAGGUAUCUGCAACUCCGUCCAAUCAUUAAUGAAGUCCAGCAAUGCUUGAGACUUAAUGGUCGUACGUGGCACAUACUUUAAAUUAUGAGACCCAAGCUCAAUGGCCCACUUGGCGACUCGUCCUGUGGCUUCUCUAUUUUGAAUAAUAUCUCCUAAAGGAGAAGAGCUAACCACAGUGGUAGGGUGACCCUGGAAGUAAUGCUUAAGCUUCCGGCUUGCCAUGAACACCCCAUAAACAAGCUUCUGCCAAUGUGGAUAUCUUUGCUUGGAUUCAAUGAGCACCUCACUGACGUAGUAAACCGGCCGUUGAACCGGAUGUUCCUUGCAAGCCUCCUUGCGCUCCAUAACAAUGGCCACAUUGACGACCCGUGAGUUAGCAGCCACAUAUAACAACAGUAGCUCCUUCUCAACGGGGGCAGCAAGAACCAGCGGCUCAGCAAGAUGUCUUUUCAAAUAUUCAAAGGCGGAGUUGGCAGCGUCACUCCAGACAAAGUCAUUUGUCUUUUUCAUCAUUUGAUACAACAUCAUAGCCUUCUCACCCAACCGGCUUAUGAACCGUCUCAAAGCUGCAACUCGACCCGCCAGCCGCUGAACAUCAUUGAUGCACGCCGGUUUAGCCAAAGAUGUAAUCACUUUAAUUUUUCUGGGUUAGCCUCAAUGCCUCUGUUAGACACCAAAAAGCCCAAAAGCUUGCCAGCUGGGACUCAAAAAAACACACUUGGCCGGGUUAAGCAUCAUCUUGUAGACCCGGAGGUUAUCAAAGGUUUCCUUCAGAUCAACUACCAAGGUUUCCUUCUCUUUGGAUUUCACCACUAUAUCAUCCACGUAAGCAUCAACAUUACGCCCAAUCUGAUUUUGAAGGCAAUUCUGUACACACCGCUGAUAAGUUGCUUGGGCACUCUUAAGCCCAAAAGGCAUAGACACAUAGCAGAAGGCUCCAAACGGAGUAAUGAAAGCCGUCUUCUCCUGGUCCUUAACCGCCAUUUUGAUCUGAUGAUAACCAGAAUAAGCAUCCAAGAAGCUCAGACGCUCACAACCCACCGUAGCAUCAAUGAUUUGAUCAAUACGAGGGAGAGCAAAAGGAUCAGCCGGGCAAGCUUUGUUUAAAUCCAUGUAAUCUACACACAUACGCCAAGUGUCGUUCUUUUUCAGCACGAGCACCAGGUUCGCCAACCACUCUAGGUGAAAAACUUCAACAAUAAACCCAGCUGCCAAAACCCGGGCCACCUCUUCUCCAAUAGCCUUGCGCCUUUCCUCAUUAAACCAUCGAAGAAACUGCCUGACCGGCUUAAACUUUGGAUCUAUAUUAAGAGUGUGCUCAGCGAGUUCUCUCGGUACACCUGGCAUGUCAGAAGGCUUCCACGCAAAGAUGUCCCGGUUCUCACGGAUGAACUCGAUGAGCGCGCCUUCCUAUUUUGGAUCCAAGUUAGCGCUGAUAAUGAACUGUUUGGAUGAGUCGCCAGGCACAAAAUCAAUCAUUUUGGUAUCAUCAGUUGACUUAAAUUUCAGCGCCGGCUCAUUCUCCGUAGUUGGCUUCUUCAAAGACGUCAUGUCUGCCGGGUCAACAUUAUCCUUAUAAAACUUCAAUUCCUCUGUUGCACAAACAGACUCGGCGUAAGCAACAUCGCCUUCUUCACAUACCAGGGCUAUCUUCCGGCUUCCAUGCACUGUGAUGGUGCCCUUAUAACCCGACAUUUUGAGUUGCAGAUAAACAUAACACGGCAGUGCCAUGAACUUAGCAUAAGCCGGCCGUCCAAACAGAGCGUGAUACGGGCUUUUGAUUUUAACCACUUCAAAAGUUAACUUCUCAGCCCUAGAAUCAUACUCAUCCCCAAAGGCUACUUCCAACUCAAUCCUACCAACUGGGUAUGCCGACAUACCAGGCACAACUCCAUAAAAAACAGUAUUGGACGUUUUAAGACUUUUGUCAGUCAACCCCAUGUGAUGGAACGUCUCAUAAUAAAGGAUGUUGAUGCUACUGCCUCCGUCCAUGAGCACUUUAGUGAAUUUGUAUCCGCCAACCUAAGGUGCCACCACCAAAGCCAGAUGACCCGGAUUAUCAACCCGGGGAGGGUGGUCUUCCCUACUCCAUACGAUAGGCUGCUCAGACCAUUUUAAAUAAUGUGGGACUGUCAGUUCAACAACGUUUACAGCCCUCUUAUGAAGUUUUUGGUCCCUUUUGCACAAACUGGUGGUGAAUACAUGAUACUGCCCACUGUUCAAUUGUUUUGGGUUGCUCUAAUACUCAGACUAUUUUUGCUGCUGAUUACCUUGGCCGGAUUGCUGAUUAUAGCCGCCCUGACUGCCUUGAGGGCCCUGGCCGAGAAAACCGCCACUGCCUGAGCCGCCGCCAGGCCCGUGGUUACCAUCAAACAUGUUGGAAUUGUUAAAAGCCUUCAUGAUCGUACAGUCUUUCCACAGCUGGGUAGCUUGCUUCUCCCGGGUGCCGUGUCUUGGACAAGGUUCAUUUAGCAGCUGCUCAAGGGUGGGACCUGACCCGCCAGAGCGAGGAGGUGGCCUCCCUUUGCGCCGUUGAUCGUUGCCCUGUGCAUCGGUGUUAGCCACAAACUCCAGACUACCGUCGGCCUUACGUUUGUUACCUCCUUGAUUCGCCGGGUUGUGCUGGUGACCUUUGCCGUUGUUGUUCUUCUUUCCCUUCCCUGUCUCCUCUUCGUCAGGCACGGGGUCCUUGGUACUGUCAGAAUCGGCGUACUUGACCAGAGCCGCCAUCAGCUGGCCCAUGUCAUGACAAUCACGCUUGAGCCGCCCCAGCUUCUAUUUUAGAGGUUCAAAACGACAAUUUUUCUCCAACAUUAAGACCACGGAGCCGGCAUCCAUCUUAUCAGAUGAAUGUAUUAUUUCCUUGACCCGGUGCACCUAAUGGGUCAUGGAUUCGCCUUCCUCCUGCUUGCAGUUAGUCAAGUCCACGAUCAACAUGGGCUGCUUACAGGUAUCUUUGAAGUUCUGAAUGAACCGGGCUUUUAACUCUGCCCAUGAGCGAUGAACUUGGGUGGCAACCCCUUCAACCAAGUGCGAGCUGCUCCAUCCAACAUCAUAGUGAAGUAUUUAGCCAUUGCUGCGUCACUGACCUCCAAUAACUCCAUGGCCAUCUCGUAACUUUCAAUCCAUGCUCCGGGCUGCAGGUCGGCUGUGUAAUUAGGUACCUUACGAGGCCCCUUAAAGUCCUUUGGCAAACGCUUAUUACGCAGAGUCGGCACCAGACAAGGGACACCUCCUGUCUUUGUGGCCACGCCUGCUUCAAUAGAGGUCGCUGGAUAAAUCGGAAAAGCUUGGUGAGCCGCCAGCUCAGCUGCCUAUUGAACCGCCCGCUCAGUCUCUUGACGGAUCCUCUCCUGGUCCACCAAGUUAAGAGCCCCACCCUGGGCCGGGUCAUGCCUGCUUGGUUGGUUAUGACAUUGGGCAUUGCUUGACAUGGAUGCUGAGUCCAUAUGCCUACUAUAGCUCGGGCUCCGGCUUGGGCGAGGGGUUGAAUGGAUUCUGUCUCGACUAUAAGAGUAUGCAUCCUAUUGUGCCAAAGCCGUCUGAAAAAGUUCUCUGACCCUUCAUGUUUCGAUCGCUGUUGGAGAGUCGCCUUCCAUCGAGAGAGCCGCCAAACAAGCCGACGCAGCGAUACGAUUCUCCAAAGGGUUAGAAAAGUGACCCAGUGGUAUUAGUGUGUAAUGAGGCGGAGCGGUANNNNNNNNNNNNNNNNNNNNNNNNNNNNNNNNNNNNNNNNNNNNNNNNNNNNNNNNNNNNNNNNNNNNNNNNNNNNNNNNNNNNNNNNNNNNNNNNNNNNNNNNNNNNNNNNNNNNNNNNNNNNNNNNNNNNNNNNNNNNNNNNNNNNNNNNNNNNNNNNNNNNNNNNNNNNNNNNNNNNNNNNNNNNNNNNNNNNNNNNNNNNNNNNNNNNNNNNUGAACCGGCGCCCCAGUCUCGGGUGUUGCGACCCGGUUUGCCUCCGGAAGGUUACUAGGACCAGACCCAGGUGUGUGGAAGAGGUUCCUAGGAUCAUAAGUUAGAGGCAGACGUGAUUGAGCCUUUUGGUACCUUCUCCUCAUGACCUCAUUUGAUGCGUUUAGAACCACUGAGAGCCGGAAAGUCUGCUUGAAGCUGCUGAGCACGAGCAUCUAGAACCGCCCGCUCUGCAGCCAUCCUUACGUCCUCUGCUGCUAAAUUCUCCUUAGCUUGUGCUACCUCCUCACAUAACCGUGCCACCUCUGCAUCAUGCUGAGCCUUAUCUGCCGGCUCAACCACGGCGGUCAACAAGGUCGUCAUCCUAUCCACGAGAUCCAUUAGCACCUGAGCCGGUGGACGCACGGGGUCUUGAUACGUCUCCAUCGUAUCUACUUUUCCAAACACUUUUGCCCUUGUUUUGGACUCUAUCUUGUAUGAUUUGAAUGGAACUAACCCGGACUGACGCUGUUUUCAGCAGAAUUACCAUGAUGUUGUUUUAUGUGCAGAAAACAAAUAUUCUCGGAAUGACCUGAAACUCCGCGGGAGGUCUUAGAAAAAACAAUAAAAAAUCCUCGCCAAAUAUGAAGACCAGGGGGCCCACACUCUUUCCACGAGGGUGGGGGUGCCCCCCUAGGGCGCGCCCCCCUACCUUGUGGGCCCCCUGUUGACCCUCCGACGCCAACUCCAACACUAUAUAUUUGCUUUUAGAGAGAGAAAAAUAAGAGAGAAGAAAUCAUCGCGUUUUACGAUACGGAGCCGCCGCCAAGCCUUAAAACCUCUCGGGAGGGCUGAUCUGGAGUCCGUUCGGGGCUCCGAAGAGGGGGAUUCGUCGCCGUCAUCAUCAUCAACCAUCCUCCAUCACCAAUUUCAUGAUGCUCACCGCCGUGCGUGAGUAAUUCCAUCGUAGGCUUGCUAGACGGUGAUGGGUUGGAUGAGAUUUAUCAUGUAAUCGAGUUAGUUUUGUUAGGGUUUGAUCCCUAGUAUCCACUAUGUUUUGAGAUUGAUGUUGCUAUGACUUUGCUAUGCUUAAUUCUUGUCACUAGGGCCCGAGUGCCAUGAUUUCAGAUCUGAACCUAUUAUGUUUUCAUUAAUAUAUGUGAGUUCGAGAUCCUAUCUUGCAAGUCUAUAGUCACCUACUAUGUGUUAUGAUCCGGCAACCCCGAAGUGAAAAUAAUCAGGACCACUCCCGGUGAUGACCAUAGUUUGAGGAGUUCAUGUAUUCACUAUGUGCUAAUGCUUUGUUCCGGUUCUCUAUUAAAAGGAGGCCUUAAUAUCCCUAAGUUUCCAAUAGGACCCCGCUGCCACGGGAGGGUAGGACAAAAGAUGUCAUGCAAGUACUUUUCCAUAAGCAUGUAUGACUAUAUACGGAAUACAUGCCUACAUUACAUUCACGAAUUGGAGCUAGUUCUGUGUCACCCUAUGUUAUGACUGUUACAUGAUGAACCGCAUCCGGCAUAAUUAUCCAUCGCUGAUCCAGUGCCUACGAGUUUUCCAUAUACUGGUUUACGCUUAUUUACUUUCCUGCUGCUACUGUUACAAUCACUACAAAAUACCAAAAAUAUUACUUUUGCUGUCUUUACUUUUGUUGCCGCUACCACCACUAUCAUAUUACUUUGCUACUAAACACUUUGCUGCAGAUACUAAGUUUCCAGGUGUGGUUGAAUUGACAACUCAGCUGCUAAUACUUGAGAAUAUUCUUUGGCUCCCCUUGUGUCGAAUCAAUAAAUUUGGGUUGAAUACUCUACCCUCGAAAGCUGUUGCCAUCCCCUAUACUUGUGGGUUAUCAAGACAAAUUUCUGGCACUGUUGCCGAGGAGCAUAGCUCUAUUCUUUGAGUCACUUGGGAUUUAUAUCUGUUGGACACUAUGAAGAACUUGAGAGAUCCAAAAACCAAGAUCUAUCCCUCAACUACGAGGGGAGGUAAGGAACUGCCAUCUAGCUCUGCACUUGAUUCACCUUCUGUUAUGAGUAAGUUUGCGACACCUACACCUGCUUCUGCUAUUUGUUCUGAUAUGUCGCAUGUUAUUGAUGAUGCCACUUCUGCUAUGCAUGAUACUUAUGAUGAAGCUGCUUCUAUGUCUGAUACUACUGUGCCCCUUGGUGAUUUUCUAGAAGACCAAAUUGCUAGGGCUAGAGAAAGAGAAAUUAUUGAAUCUGAAUAUGAUGAUUAAAAUAUGCCUGUUAUUCCUAGAGGUUAUCUUUUUGAUAAAGAUGCUUCUUUAGCUAUUUUAGCUUGCAGAGAUAGAUAUGAGCUUAAGAGGUUAUUAAUUAAAUGGAACAAAGAAUCACUUAGAGAUAGAAUGAGACCCGACCCUGAUUUUGCUACUUCACCUACAUGUGUUCCUGAUAAAGAUUAUGAAUUCUCUGUUGAUCCUGAUAUAAUUACUUUGGUUGAAUCUGAUCCGUUUUAUGGCUAUGAAUCUGAAACUGUUGUGGCACAUCUUACUAAGUUAAAUGAUAUAGCUGCCCUGUUCAUUGAUAAUGAGAGAUCACAUUACCUCUAUUUACUCAAAAUAUUCCCGUUCUCAUUAAAGGGUGAUGCUAAGAUAUGGUUUAAUUCUCUUGAUCCUGGUUGUGUGCGUAGUCCCCGGGAUAUGAUUUAUUACUUCUCUGCUAAAUAUUUCCCUGCUCAUAAGAAACAAGCUGCUUUAACGGAAAUAUACAACUUUGUGCAAAUCAAAGAAGAGAGUCUCCCACAAGCUUGGGGGAGGCUUCUCAAGCUACUUAAUGCUUUGCCUGACCAUCCUCUUAAGAAACCUGAAAUACUUGAUAUCUUUUAUAAUGGACUAACCGAUGCUUCUAGAGAUUACCUGGAUAGUUGUGCUGGUUCUCUUUUCAGAGAAAGAACACCGGAUGUAGCUAAAAUUCUAUUGAAUAAUAUGUUGACAAAUGAAAAUAAUUAGGCACCUCCUGAGCCAGCUCCUGCUCCAAUUACUAAGCCUAUUCCUAAACCAACUCCGAAGAAGAGAGGUGUUUUAUUUCUCAGUUGAAGACGUUAAGAAUUUACCUCCUAUUGAAGACGUUAAGAAUUUACCUCCUAUUGAAGAAAUACAUGGUCUUAAUUCACCGCCUGUUGAAGAGACAUAUGAUCUCAAUUAUUUAUUUACUAAAGAACCUCCUGAUCCCGAUAUCCCAACAUAGGCAGUAAAGGUAAAUUCUCUCUAUAGAUAUGAUAAAGCUGAAGUCCCUCCUACUAAAAUUGCUACUCAGUGCUUGGAUGAGUUUGAUAACUUUAUGUAUAAGCAAGACGACUUCAAUGCUUAUUUUGGUAGACUAUUAAAAGAAAAUGCUUAUAUGAUUAGACGCUUGGGUGAUUAUAUUGCUGAUAUUAAGGGUGAACUUAAACUUAUUAGCAAACAUGCUUCUAUGGUCACCACCCAAGUAGAACAAGUACUUAAAGCUCAAAAAGAAGUGCUUAAUGAAAUGAAUAGUAAGAAAAAUGAUUAUGCUAUUAGAUUGGCUACUAGAACUGGUAGAAUGACUCAGGAACCUUUGUAUCCUGAAGGCCACCCUAAGAGAAUCGAGCAAGAUUCUUAGAGAAAUAAUAUUGAUGUUCCUAGUUCUUCUAAAAAUAAGAAGAAAAAAAUGAUAGAACUGUGCAAACUUCUAGUGAACCUAUUGUUGAACCACCUGAUAAUCCAAAUGAUAUAUCUAUGUCUGAUGCUGAAACACAAUUUGGUAAUGAGCCUGAACCUAAUGAAAAUAUUAAUGCUGAUGUUCAUGAUGAUGCUCAACCUAGUAAUGACAAUGAUGUAGAAAUUGAACCUGCUGUUGAUCUUGAUAACCCACAAUCAAAGAAUCAACGUUAUGAUAAAAGAGACUUUGUUGCUAGGAAAUAUGAUAAAGAAAGGGAACCUUGGGUUCAGAAACCCAUGCCUUUUCCUCCGAAACCAUCCAAGAAAAAGGAUUAUGAGGAUUUUGAGUGCUUUGCUGAAAUGAUUAGGCCUAUCUUUUUGCGUAUGAGAUUACCUGAUGUGCUCAAAAUGAAUCCUUAAGCUAAAUAUAUGAAAGAUAUCAUUACUAAUAAAAUAAAGAUACCGGAAGCUGAGAUUUCCACCAUGCUUGCUAAUUAUACUUUUAAGGGUGGAAUACCAAAGAAACUUGGAGACCCCGGAGUACCUACUAUACCUUGCUCCAUUAAAAGAAAUUAUAUUAAAACUGCUUUAUGUGAUCUUGGAGCUGGUGUUAGUGUUAUGCCUCUCUCUUUAUAUCGUAGACUUGACUUGAAUACGUUGACACCUACUAAAAUAUCUUUGCAAAUGGCUGAUAAAUCAACUGCUAUACCUGCUGGUGUUUGUGAGGAUGUGCCUGUUGUGGUUGCAAACGUUACUAUUUUAACGGACUUUGUUAUACUUGAUAUUCCCGAGGAUGAUAGUAUGUCUAUUAUUCUUGGAAGACCUUUUCUUAAUACUGCAGGGGCUGUUAUUGAUUACAACAAAGGCAAUGUCACUUUUCAUGUUAAUGGUAAUGAGCAUACGGUACACUUUCCGAGGAAACAACCUCAAGUUCAUAGUAUCAACUCUAUUGGAAAAAUUCCAUCGAUUAUAUUUGGAGGUUUUGAAUUUCCUCUUCCUACUGUCAAGAAAAAAUAUGAUAUUCUUAUUAUAGGGGAUGUGCAUAUCCCCGUUGAGGUAACUUAGUGUUAUUCAAAAUUUCUCAGGUUUCCUGAUUAUCGGAAUGAGUUUGUUAACAAGACUUGAUCAACCUUGUUAGCGGAUUCUUUUUGAUGAGCAUGAGAUGGAUGAAACUAGAAGCACAAACUUCUGUACCCUAUUUAUACUUUCUGUUAUUUAUAUUAAAUAAAGUAAAAAUAGUAUUUUUCUGUCUGUUAUCUGAUUAUCCGUGCAAUAUAAAAAUAUCCCGAAAAUAAAAGUCCUCAGAAUGCCAUGCCAAUUUAAUAUGAUUUUUUCGGGAAUAUUUGAGGAUUUACUGUGCAAAAAUUACCGCGGGAGGAGCUGCCACUUGGCCAUGAGGGUGGUGGGCGCCCCCCCUAUAGGGUGCGCCCCCUGCUUCGUGGGCCCAUGAUGGCCCUCCUCCACUUAUUCCAGCACCCAUCUUCUUCCUCUGUCUCACACAAACCCGAAAAACCAACUCAAGCACGAGUUCCAACCACUUUUGCUGUGAUUUUCGAUCUCCUUGCUCAAAGCACCUCUCACAAAACUGCUUGGGGAGAUUGUUCCUUGGUAUGUGACUCCUCCAUUGGUCCAAUUAGUUUUUGUUCUAGUGCUUUAUUCAUUGCAAAUUUGUGCUGCAUAGGUGACCAUGUUCUUGAGCUUGCAUGUCAAAUUUAUAUGGUUCCAAGUAGUUCUAAUGCUUGAUAUAGGCUCUAGGCACUUGUAGGAGUAGUUGCUAUCAGUUUAAUUGAGUUUGGUUCACUUUUAUUUCGAAUUUAAUAAAAAUUUCAGAAUUUUUUCAGAGAAAAACAAUAUGUUUAGGAAGAUGUUCCAAGGUGGUUCCUCUAAGAAGCAAGGACCCAGAAUUGCUAUGCGCGAUGCUGACGAGGAUCCACCAAGAGACGCUCUAGUACGGCCUUGUGAAUGGCCAUCGGAAAAUUUUAUGGACCAUGCGGGAAUUAAAGAAGAAUUCAAAUCAUAUUUGCGCAAUGCCGAUCUUGAGGAUUUUGAGGCUAACAAAUGCCCCCAGUGUCAUGAUCUCACAAGUUCAUUUGUGAGGAGGUUUGAGUAUUCAUCUUCGCGUAAUUCUCCUUCAGUCAUGUUUGAUCUUUAUGACAAAUCUUAUACCAUGGACCUAGAGGAUUUCAGUUCUGCUUGCGAACUUCCAUCAUGGGGCAGUAUUAGGGAUCCUCCUAAAUCUGAAUUUAGAAACUUUCUUGCUAGUAUUACUGUGGGGGAAUCCAGAGAUAUAACGCAGGCUACCAUAGGGAGCAUUCAUUUUCCUGCUAUACAUUAUUUUGCUCUUUUCAUUGGUAGAUGCAUAAAUGCUAAGGAUGAAGCAUGUCACAUGUGUGUCCCUGAUCUUAGCAUUCUUAGGAGUGUUGUGUUAGGAGACCAAUCUUAUCAUAUGGGAGCCAUUGUAGCUCGUAGGUUGCAUCAUAAUAGACAUGAUGGAGAUUUCUUUGGAGGAAUUUAUGCAACUCGCUUAGCUCAUUUUCUUGGAAUAGACAUUCAUGAGGGUGAUAUAGAGUUGCCUCCUGCAUAUUUAGAUUAUAACUCUAUGGCUUCACACCAGUUUGUUGAGAGGCCUGAAUCACCUCUCUUAUACCGCUUAAUUUUUGAUAAACGACGUGUUUUCCGUAUUACUCUCCCUGCUCAUGCCUUCUUUGAUUCACAGACAAAAGGAAGAUAUGUUAUUACCAGAGAGGAGGCAGAAGAGUACGAGAGGAGAGCGGAGGCAGCUCGACUCCACGCCGCAGCUCAGCAGGCGAUAACCGCUGCACAUCAGUAUGAUCCCAACUAUUCCUCCUCGUCACAGUACGACCCCAACAACUAUUAUUAUGGAUAUCCGCCAGGCCAGCCAUGGCCAUAGACCAACUUAGGCCAAAAGCCUAAGCUUGGGGGAGUACGUAUUUCUCACCGACAUUACAUUUAUGCUCACACACACUCAUUGCUAGAUGUCGAUGCUCAUACUUUUUCAUUGUAAUAUCCAUACAAGUUUAUUUUCUUUUUCCUUCUUUCUUCUUGUGUGUUUGCUUAACCUUAAGAAAAACCAAAAAAAAUAGUAGUAGUUUAUUUUUCUGUUGUAGUAGUAAUAAUUAAAAAAGAAAACCCAAAAAUAUUUCCCAUUCUUCUUUUGCUUGUUGGGAGCUUUCCCGUGUAAAUAGUUUUAUUUCUUUUCUUUUCUUUGGGGGUCAGUAGGAGAAGACCAUAAUUAAAUUGUUGAAGUGGCUCUUAUAUGCAUUAUUGAUUGAUUUAACCAAGAGCCCAUAUUGCCUUGUCUUCUCCUGUUUAUCGAAUGCUCGCAGAUUCCAGCUUAGUCCAAUGCAUGUGCACUCUUAUUAUUAUUCACACUAUUCGGUCGUGCAAGUGAAAGGCAAUUAUGAUGAUAUAUGAUGGACUGACCGAGAUAAGAAAAGCUGGUAUGAACUCGACCUCUUUUGUUUUUGUAAAUAUGAUGAGUCCCUCGUUCUUGAUUCAGCUUAUUAUGAAUAAACAUGUUUGCAAUGACAAUUAGAGAUCAGAGUUGCUUGUGCCAUGCUUGAUUAGCUAUGAGUUAUAAUGAUUUACCUUGUGUGCUAACAUGCUAUUAAAAUGGUUAUGAUGUGGUAUGAUGGGGUGGUAUCCUCCUUUGAAUGAUUUAAGUGACUUGACUUGGCACAUGUUCACUCAUGUAGUUGAAACAAAAUCAACAUAGCCUUCACGAUAUUUAUGUUCAUGGUGGAUUAUAUCCUACUCAUGCUUGCAUCCAAUGUUUAUUAAUUUUAAUGCAUGUACAUGGCUGUUGUCGCUCUCUAGUUGGUCGCUUCCCAGUCUUUUGCUAGCCUUCACCUGUACUAAGCAGGAAUACUGCUUGUGCAUCCAAUCCCUUGAACCCCAAAGUUAUUCUAGAUGAGUCCACUAUACCUUCCUAUAUGCGGUAUCUACCGGCCGUUCCAAGUAAAUUUGUAUGUGCCAAACUCUAAACCUUCAAAUAAACAUUCUGUUUUGUAUGCUCGAAUAGCUCAUGUAUCAACAAAGGCUGUCCUUAUCUUCCGUGUUAGGCGGGUUAUUCUUAAGACGAGUGGACUCCACUCCUCACUCACGAGAAAAUGGCUGGUCACCGGGAUACCCAGUCACAUGCUUUAUGCAAACUAAAUCCAAAUUAAUUGCAAACAAAACUCCCCCUAGGACCUGAUGUAUGUUGGAGGCACUCGUUGUUUCGAGCAAGCCAUGGAUUGAUGCUUGUUCGUGAAGGGGGAGUAUAAACUUUACCAUUAUGUUUGGGAACCGCCUAUAAUGUGUUUAGCAUGGAAGACAUCGCCAUCUCUUAGUUGUUAUGUUGACAAUGAAAGUAUACCGCUCAAAAUACAAUUUAUCUCUAUUGCAAAACCGAGCUCUGGCACCUCUACAAAUCCCUGCUUCCCUCUGCGAAGGGCCUAUCCAUUUACUUUUAUGAUGAGUCAUCACCCUCUUAUUAAAAAGCACUAGCUGGAGAGCACAACCGUCAUUUGCAUUCAUCACUAUUAAUUUAUAUUGGGUAUGACUAUGAUUGGAUCUCUUUUACCAUGAAUUACAAUGUCUAGUCAGUCCUUGAUCUUUAAAGGUGCUCUGCAUUUAUGUUUUGCGGUCUCGGAAAGGGCUAGCGAGAUACCAUCUUGUUAUAUCAUAUUAUGAUUGUUUUGAGAAAGUGUUGUCAUCCGAGAUUUAUUAUUAUGACUUGCUAGUUGAUUAUGCUAUUGAUACGAGUAAUUAUGAGACCUGAGAAUUAUUGCAAAUGUGGUUAGUUAUGAUGAAAACUUGAAUGCUGGCUUGACAUAGUUACAACAACAAGAGCAAACAGAGUUUGUAAAAGUUUUUCUUUCUUUCUUUCAGUUUGUCAACUGAAUUGCUUGAGGACAAGCAAGGGUUUAAGCUUGGGGGAGUUGAUACGUCUCCGUCGUAUCUACUUUUCCAAACACGUUUGCCCUUGUUUUGGACUCUAUCUUGUAUGAUUUGAAUGGAACUAACCUGGACUGACGCGGUUUUCAGCAGAAUUACCAUGAUGUUGUUUUAUGUGCAAAAAACAAAUAUUCUUGGAAUGACCUGAAACUCCACGGGAGGUCUUAGAAAAAACAAUAAAAAAUCCUCGCCAAAUAUGAAGACCAAGGGGCCCACACCCUUUCCACGAGGGUGGGGGCGCCCCCUAGGGCGUGCCCCCUACCUCGUGGGCCCCCUGUUGACCCUCCGACGCCAACUCCAACUCUAUAUAUUUGCUUUCGGAGAGAAAAAAAUAAGAGAGAAGAAAUCAUCGUGUUUUACGAUACGGAGCUCCGGAGAGGGGGAUUCGUCGCCGUCGUCAUCAUCAACCAUCCUCCAUCACCAAUUUCAUGAUGCCCACCGUCGUGCGUGAGUAAUUCCAUCGUAGGCUUGCUGGACGGUGAUGGGUUGGAUGAGAUUUAUCAUGUAAUCGAGUUAGUUUUUUUAGGGUUUGAUCCCUAGUAUCCACUAUGUUCUGAGAUUGAUGUUGCUAUGACUUUGCUAUGCUUAAUGCUUGUCACUAGGGCCCGAGUGCCAUGAUUUCAGAUCUGAACCUAUUAUGUUUGCAUUAAUAUAUGUGAGUUCUAGAUCCUAUCUUGCAAGUCUAUAGUCACCUACUAUGUGUUAUGAUCCGGCAACCCCGAAGUGACAAUAAUCGGGACCACUCCCGGUGAUGACCAUAGUUUGAGGAGUUCAUGUAUUCACUAUGUGCUAAUGCUUUGUUCUGGUUCUCUAUUAAAAGGAGGCCUUAAUAUCCCUAAGUUUCCAAUAGGACCCCGCUCCCACGGGAGGGUAGGACAAAAGAUGGCAUGCAAGUUCUUUUCCAUAAGCACGUAUGACUAUAUACGGAAUACAUGCCUACAUUACAUUGACGAAUUGGAGCUAGUUUUGUGUCACCCUAUGUUAUGACUGUUACAUGAUGAACCGCAUCUGGCAUAAUUAUCCAUCGCUGAUCGAGUGCCUACGAGUUUUCCAUAUACUGGUUUACGCUUAUUUACUUUCCCUCUGCUACUGUUACAAUCACUACAAAAUACCAAAAAUAUUACUUUUGCUGUCUUUACUUUUGUUGCCGCUACCACCACUAUCAUAUUACUUUGCUACUAAACACUUUGCUGCAGAUACUAAGUUUCCAGGUGUGGUUGAAUUGACAACUCAGCUGCUAAUACUUGAGAAUAUUCUUUGGCCCCCCUUGUGUCAAAUCAAUAAAUUUGGGUUGAAUACUCUACCCGCGGAAGCUGUUGCGAUCCCCUAUACUUGUGGGUUAUCAGGUCUCCGGUCCCGGCUGCUGCUGUUCCAGUGGUUACCGUCGCCGCGGCCGUAGAAUUUUGACCGGGCUGAGAGCCAGCCAUGUAGACCCCGGCUCGAUUUGGCGGCUCAAAGGGGUCCGGAAUACUGCUUCCAUCGGAACAGCCCCCAAGCCCGCCAUCAUGUAGUUGAUACAAUGAAUCUGCCUCACCUGUGGACGACUCGCCGUCAGAGUGGACAGCCGUCUCGCCGCUAUCCACAGAUCCUUCAGAAAGCUCCCCUCCAUGGAUGCAACCUACGAAGGCAUGCCUUACGGCUAGCUGAGCCCGGGCGGGUCUCGCACGCUGAGCCGUUUCGAUGAGGUCGGUGCAGACGUCCGACUCAGGGCCCGGCUCGCUGAUCCGGCCGACAAAGACAUGGAUUCCGCCGAAGGGGACCCGAUACCCGUACUCGAUCGAGACGGCCUCGGGGCCCCAGCCUGCGUCGUCGAUGUAGAGCUUGCCGCGACGACUCUUGGUCAUUCGGCCCACAUCGUAUCUCUUGAGCCCUUCGAAGGUGCCCUUCAAAAACUCAAAUCCACCAUGCGCUGGCCCCACGGUAGGCGCCAACUGUCCUGUAAUUUUCACGGCAGAUGUCCUAGUGAAAGGACUUAGUCGUGGAGCCAUCGCAACUAGGAAGCUUAAAGGGGUUAAUCAGGACAAAGGACACGAGAGGUUUAUACUGGUUCGGCCCCUUGCGGUGAAGGUAAAGCCUAGUCCAGUUGUUGUGGUAUUUCUAGGUUUCGAUGACCAAGGAGCGAAAUAUGAUAGCUUGGCUCUCGAUCGGAAGGUAAAGCCUAAGCCAUCGCCGGGUUGUCCCCUUAUAUACAAGGGUUGACGCCCUGCGGCCUAUAGAGUCCCGGCCGGCUCAUACAACGUGUCCGGCUCAGUGACGUAUUUUACAUGCCUUACUUUACAAGUCUUAUCAUACAUGGCGGUUUAUACUCAUAGGCCUUAAGCCGCCUCUGGGCUUCGGCCUACUACAACCUUAUCAUAAACUGUCACCUUGUAUAUUCUUCGGGCUUCCUUUAGUUAACCCGCCAUUGCUAUUGACCCGGCCCCUGCUGGGCGGGUCAUACCUGGUAGUUAUCCCCAACACUACUCAUAGCAUAACAUGACCACUAGCAUCAACAAUAAAUACCAUGCAAUAACAUAACGAUAAAACUACCAUGCGAGUAUUUAAUCAACUCGAUGCAAAGAAACAUGCAUAACGGCGGUACUCGGAACAGACGAUAGUCAUGCACUGAAGACCAUCACCAACAUGUACUACUACCAAACAUUGCCAAUAUUAAAGUAAUACUAUCAUGAAGAACAUAAUAACAGAGUGCAAGAAAACAUAGCAUCACGGUAAACACCGAUCCAUAAGCAUAACCGAAAUAAUGACAGCAGUAGCAAAACAAUCAAACAGUUAUUAAAGAUUCAAGUUGAAAACCAAUGCUUCUGCAUGACUAUCAUGCAAAUGGUGGUUGUGUCUUGCCUGUGUAUGAAGAAGGCUCUGGGGAGAAGUGCGGAAAGAUCGCGGAAGGAAUUGCCGAAAAGAUUCUCUCUCGAAGGGGGCUGAUUAGGGGCAAGGGCAAAAUGGGUCAUUUUCAGAAUGUUGAAACAUAGUGAAAAUGGUACCAAAAGUUUGGGCUCGACGAGACAAAGAAGUGGGCUUUGGAAUCACCUAAAUCGGAGUUGCGGUCGCGAAGAUACGAGAAGGGGAAGUCCAGGGACCAAUCUGUGAAAGUUUUCAUCACCAACAAGUCCCUGGGAGGAAAAACAGAUCGCGCACUUAGAGGAAUACGCCCCCAGGAAGGGAAAACGUACUUUCAGUCGUAGUAGAAUAAUAGUACAUUUUUGGAGAAGGGAAGACACAUUUCAAGAAAACCGUCUCCACUUAUCCACGUGGACCAGGGCGCUAGGCCACUGGCGCGUGGGUCCUAGUCGCAUGGGGAGGGGCUCGGGCGCUCGUCUCCU
This 23746-nucleotide long non-coding RNA is filed under the name Triticum aestivum (bread wheat). RNAcentral describes it as "long non-coding RNA (TAES_LNC005967)". Lineage: Eukaryota; Viridiplantae; Streptophyta; Magnoliopsida; Poales; Poaceae. The record is from RNAcentral.